GCUCCACGAGAUUGGGACAAGGAAUCCAAACCCGCCCUCGGUCGCUCUGCGGCAAAAGAACGCACUAGCUUGGAUCGCUUUGAUCGACGUGCCUUCUUCACGCUUGUGGUGGACAGGUUGCGCAGCGACCUUCCAGCGGCCGUGACGAAGUCCGCCAGUACCUCGUCACUGAAAAGGAAACAAAACUUGUGGAAGUAAGAAAAGGCAGCAAAGAUUCACCUGAAGUCAAACGAUGGUGUCCCAGUGCUCGAGAUAUUGAGCUCUUCCAGUGUCGGCCCCCUAGCCACCAUGAGCUCACUUAGCAAUUUGUCGGUUCACGCUCGCGAGACCGCUGCAGCAAUUGGUCGGAGAGUGCUCGGCCACAGAGCCCGAGCUCCAAAGCCUGAAAAAAAAAAAGUUAUACAUUGUAAACGGAGAGAGAGAGAGAGAGAGCAACCUGGACUCCAUCGAGGGGAGAGUUUUCCAUCAACUCCUGGGAUGAAGAUCCGCGUGAGAGGUCCUGCCAGGAUUAUCUGCACUGCCUUGGGACAAGCUCGUAUAGCUUGGACGUAAUGCACGGCUUUAAAGCCUCCCGCACCCCUUCCAAGGACUCGACGUGAUCGAUCUUCUGGCAGAAAAGCUCGAUUAGCAGCUUAUACCACGCGAAGAAAGUGUGAGAAUUCUUGCAAGCUUUGCUCGUCCUGACUAUGGAAGCUUACCAGUCAUAGUCGUUCUUCUCCGGCUCCAAGCCUAGCAGAUCGUUAGGGCUCUUCUGCUGCAGUCGCGGAGCACAGAUUGACGGCGAGGCUGGUGGAGCCGCCACCUCCAAAGAUCAUCGAGUGGCGUGCGC
RNAcentral lists this long non-coding RNA (829 nucleotides) under Selaginella moellendorffii. RNAcentral describes it as "long non-coding RNA (SMOE_LNC002086)". Lineage: Eukaryota; Viridiplantae; Streptophyta; Lycopodiopsida; Selaginellales; Selaginellaceae. The record is from RNAcentral.